GCAGAGCAGAGGCGGGGUUGGCGCCCCCACCCCCAGCCCCGGCGCCGGAAUCCCAAGUGCACAGGAGGCUGGGUGCGAAGCUGUCAGCUGGUGGUCUGAUCAUGACCCAUGGCCGUGGAGGGAGUUUGCUGGUUUACCUGGGCCGUGGCAAAUCCACAGAUUUCCAGCUGCCAACGUGACGUCACUGCACUGCUGGGAGAGCCGCAGAAACCGAACAGACACGAGGGAUGGGAAUGACCCGGAGAGCAGAGCUAGAGUCAGAUGAGACUGGCUCCCGAAACUCCCGGAAACGCAGCAAGCUGCUCUGGCAAGCCAACCCCGGCCCAGUCCUCCCCGCGGGCUCCCGGUGCCUCCUCUCAGCACUGUGGCUUAGUGCUGCCUGUCCAUGCUUCAUACAAACGGGGCCCUGCAGUGCGGAGCCUUCUCUGUGGCUCUUGUCCCUGAGACUGGCCUGCGUCGGGGUAUUGGAGCCCACUGCCCUCACCGCUGCGUCCUGUGAGUGGGUGACCAUAGGGACAUAUCACCACUCGGCCGUUCUGCUGUCAGUGAACCCCUGGCUUUGGUACCAUGCGCUCAGCUGGACGCGCAGUUGGUCUGCAGUGGGGGUCGUGCCCUCACCUGGCUUUGGUACCAACCUGACUUCUGCUGAGAACACAGCUGUGUUCUCUCUGCACGCACGCACACCCCAAGCCUCUUCCCAAUGGUGACAAUACAUAAUGGUUUCUCACAAAAUUCACAUUUGUGUAAAAUGUUAUCUUGAGGUCGUCUUAUUAUCUAUUUAAAGUGGGCUCCUUGCCCGGCACGGAGCUCAGCAUGGGGCUCGAACUCACCACCCAGAGAUCAUGACCUGAGCUGAAAUCAAGAGUUGGACGCUUCCCCGACCGAGCCACCCAGGCGCCCCUGUCUUAAGGUCUUACUAGUGAGAAAUGGUUGUCUUAACAGCAAAACGGCAAAAGCUGCACCUUUCAGAAAGAUGC
RNAcentral lists this long non-coding RNA (977 nucleotides) under Ursus maritimus (polar bear). RNAcentral's name for it is "lncRNA (ENSUMAG00000007609.1)". The record is from RNAcentral. Lineage: Eukaryota; Metazoa; Chordata; Mammalia; Carnivora; Ursidae.